Molecule: ribosomal RNA, 440 nt
Filed under: uncultured bacterium
Lineage: Bacteria
Description: partial 16S ribosomal RNA
Rfam family: Bacterial small subunit ribosomal RNA
Source: RNAcentral
CUACGGAUUGCUGCAGCGGGGAAUAUUGCACAAUGGAGGAAACUCUGAUGCAGCAACGCCGCGUGGAGGAUGACACUUUUCGGAGCGUAAACUCCUUUUAUAUAGGAAGAAGAUGACGGUACUAUAUGAAUAAGCGCCGGCUAACUCCGUGCCAGCAGCCGCGGGUAAUACGGAGGGCGCAAGCGUUACUCGGAAUCACUGGGCGUAAAGAGCGUGUAGGCGGAUUAAAAAGUCAGAAGUGAAAUCCUAUAGCUUAACUAUAGAACUGCUUCUGAAACUCUUAAUCUAGAAUAUGGGAGAGGUAGAUGGAAUUUCUGGUGUAGGGGUAAAAUCCGUAGAGAUCAGAAGGAAUACCGAUUGCGAAGGCGAUCUACUAGAACAUUAUUGACGCUGAGACGCGAAAGCGUGGGGAGCAAACAGGAUUAGAUACCCUGGUAGUC